GCCGCAAUAGCUCAGUUGGUAGAGCACAUCAUUCGUAAUGAUGGGGUCGGGGGUUCGAAUCCCUCUUGCGGCACCA
This 76-nucleotide transfer RNA is filed under the name Methylocystis bryophila. Its description in RNAcentral is "tRNA-Thr". It matches the Rfam family "tRNA". Rfam says of the family: Transfer RNA (tRNA) molecules are approximately 80 nucleotides in length. Their secondary structure includes four short double-helical elements and three loops (D, anti-codon, and T loops). Further hydrogen bonds mediate the characteristic L-shaped molecular structure. tRNAs have two regions of fundamental functional importance: the anti-codon, which is responsible for specific mRNA codon recognition, and the 3' end, to which the tRNAs corresponding amino acid is attached (by aminoacyl-tRNA synthetases). tRNAs cope with the degeneracy of the genetic code in two manners: having more than one tRNA (with a specific anti-codon) for a particular amino acid; and 'wobble' base-pairing, i.e. permitting non-standard base-pairing at the 3rd anti-codon position. Lineage: Bacteria; Pseudomonadati; Pseudomonadota; Alphaproteobacteria; Hyphomicrobiales; Methylocystaceae. The record is from RNAcentral. RNAcentral also lists the same sequence under 15 other names.